Molecule: non-coding RNA, 82 nt
Organism: Xenia sp. Carnegie-2017
Lineage: Eukaryota; Metazoa; Cnidaria; Anthozoa; Malacalcyonacea; Xeniidae
Source: the annotation of a RefSeq genome assembly
GCUGUGAUGGCCGAGUGGUUAAAGCGUUGGACUUGAAAUCCAAUGGGGAUUCCCAACGUAGGUUCAAAAUCUGCUUGCAACG